UCACAUUCCCUUCUAGGUAGAAAACAGAGACAAGGGUAAAAGGAUUCAAGUGGUUUCUUUCUGUCCUCAAAGUGUAUCCUUUCUUUACCAUUCCCCUCUUUCUUACUUUGCUCAUCAUUCCAGAUCUUACUGUGCACCAGUAGCAGGUAAGUUGCCAAACAGAAGUCCUUCCACCCAGAGACAGAGCCUUUCCCAGAGUCACUGGCACACCAAAUACAGAGGGAACCUUCUUUGAUUAAUUGCAAGUCUCAUGGCAAACAAUAUAUGAUAGCUGCUGAAGGACAAAGCAACCUGAAUCUGUAGGAAUGAUAAAAGUCAGUAUGUCUCUUCUCAUAUUUUUUUUUCUACUUGUUCUUUCUAGUAUUUCUCACCUGAGGUCAUCACAUCUGCAAUAAAGUAAUGAAGGCUUCUUCUUUUUCUGUAUAAUGAUCUUAGGCUGUCUUAGACAAAAAAAUGUGGGGGGAAAAGACAUAUAAUUUUUACAUUUAUAGAAGGAAUACAUUUUUUUCUCUGCAUGUAGUAAUUAGUGGUGCAAAUGGUCAGUAAGCAAUACUUCCCUACCUUAAUAGAAUAAAAUCUUUGGUUAAUUAGGAGAUUAAAACACAUAAUGAAUAUGUGAACUCUGCCAACUGUUCUAAUAGAGGCCGUCAGCUCAUUUAUAUUGUUAAUUGAACAAUUAGUAUUGCUGAAUUGCAAACCCACAGGAGACAGGAGGGCAGAACACGUUCCUGAGACACUGCAUUGCUCUGCUGGCACCAGAUAUCUGUGACCACAGGUGACUCCAUUGCCCUCCAGAGCCCUUCAACAACAUGGGUGGAUUUCAACCAUUAGGGAGAGAAAUUUAAAUGUGCAAAUAUUUGCAUUUUCCUAGACUGAUCAUAGUCCACCUCUUCAGAAAUAUCUCAGCACAUGAAGACUGACAGGUAGGAAAGGAUGACUGAAAGGAAGUUCCCUGCAAAAAACACUCUAGCAUGCUCUUCAAAAUAGCCUGGAUUUGGACUUACUGCAGCAAAACCCUGAUCCAAGCCUCUUCUGGGAGCAUGUCUGAGGCAGAGAGAAAAACAAGACCCAGGAAUACUCCAGGCUAUCAGCACCAGGGAAGCAGGAAUCUGCUAUUACCUGCCUUGAACAAAUGGGAAUUGAUGAUGUGAGCAACUUGCUCAAAAUCAACCAUCAGCAUUGAAACAGAGGAUACAAUUGAACUCAUAGCUCCAGAAUCACAAUUUUUUGCCCCAAACUUUAGGCAAUCAUUCCUUCCCUUACACUAGGAAUUCAGUGUAGAUGUAAUGGGUACUUACUUCUUGAAUAGGGUGAAACUAUGUAGGUCUCCUCUGACUCUGACACAAGCUUAUUGGUAGUGACAGAGCUCACUAUCAAGACAGAAAGGUAUUAAAAUAGGGGUCCCUGUCUGGAUUUUGUGCCCUUCUCAGCAUAACUCCAUAUAUCCCAGCUGCUCUGACAUCCAGAGCACAGUACAUCACACCUGCAGUGUUUUAUUUUAUAUCACACCAGCAGUGUUUUAUUUUCCUUGCUUCUCUGCUGAAGAGGAGUGCAUGACGGGAAAAUGGGUUUCUCCCAAGAUGCCAGUUAAUUCUUACUUUCUAAAGUGUCCUUAUUUUCUUUCUAUGCUUAUUUGGGUAAUCACACUUCACCUCUGGGGCAUGGAUUUGGAGAGUGCAAUUCAAGCUGUGCUGUGUUGCAUUAUGAUGCCAUGUAAUACAGGAUAAAUGCUUGCUUCCUCUGGGAUACUGCAUUUUGAGGCACACUACUGCCAACACAUAGGUUUAUGAAACACAACUAAUGACAAAAUCAUAAAAUCAGGAGGUACUGGUUACACCUUAGCGAAGGAUAAAGAGGAAAAAACCAAAAACAGAGUGAAAGACAGAGCAAAAAAUAUAAAUACUGUUGACAGUUUCAAAUACAAAGCUUUUUGACAGGUAUUUAUUGAACUUCCUUUGGACUUUAAUACAGCCAAUGCUAAAGAUAAAAUAUAGACUCUUUUCCCUGCCUAAUCUGCUAUUUUGGCAUAGUAUCCAAUUUCAGUAUCUCUAACAAAAGCAUAAUUAGACUCACUAUUACAGAUGUGGGACAUCUACUCCCACCAUGUUUUGAGUUGAAGGUUUAAGACCUAUUUUUCCCAGCCUACUGCAACUUUUAUUCUGCAUAAAGCUUUCUCCUUUGUUCAAAAUCUUCAAUUAUUUAUAAAUAUUUAAA
Long non-coding RNA from Oenanthe melanoleuca, 2214 nucleotides. RefSeq lists it as uncharacterized. Lineage: Eukaryota; Metazoa; Chordata; Aves; Passeriformes; Muscicapidae. The record is from RefSeq and is a predicted model, not a curated record. The transcript is spliced from 4 exons.